This 264-nucleotide ribosomal RNA is filed under the name uncultured Planctomycetota bacterium. Its description in RNAcentral is "uncultured planctomycete partial 16S ribosomal RNA". It matches the Rfam family "Bacterial small subunit ribosomal RNA", at positions 567 to 828 of the family's 1533-position model. The record is from RNAcentral. Lineage: Bacteria; Pseudomonadati; Planctomycetota.
AGCACGUAGGUGGGUUUGUAAGUCAGACGUGAAAGCCUUCUGUUCAACGGAAGAAUUGCAUCUGAAACUACAAACCUUGAGUGUAGGAGGGGAGAAUGGAACUUCUGGUGGAGCGGUGAAAUGCGUAGAUAUCAGGAGGAACGCCGGAGGCGAAAGCGAUUCUCUGGCCUAUUACUGACACUCAGUGUGCGAAAGCUAGGGGAGCAAACGGGAUUAGAUACCCCGGUAGUCCUAGCCGUAAACGAUGGGCACUAAGUAGAGGGG